RNAcentral lists this ribosomal RNA (501 nucleotides) under uncultured bacterium. RNAcentral describes it as "partial 16S ribosomal RNA". It matches the Rfam family "Bacterial small subunit ribosomal RNA", at positions 30 to 523 of the family's 1533-position model. The record is from RNAcentral.
AUUGAACGCUGGCGGCAGGCUUAACACGUGCAAGUCGAGCGGGGGAAGGUAGCUUGCUACUGGACCUAGCGGCGGACGGGUGAGUAAUGCUUAGGAAUCUGCCUAUUAGUGGGGGACAACAUCUCGAAAGGGAUGCUAAUACCGCGUACGUCCUACGGGAGAAAGCAGGGGAUCUUCGGACCUUGCGCUAAUAGAUGAGCCUAAGUCGGAUUAGCUAGUUGGUGGGGUAAAGGCCUACCAAGGCGACGAUCUGUAGCGGGUCUGAGAGGAUGAUCCGCCACACUGGGACUGAGACACGGCCCAGACUCCUACGGGAGGCAGCAGCGGGGAAUAUUGGACAAUGGGGGGAACCCUGAUCCAGCCAUGCCGCGUGUGUGAAGAAGGCCUUAUGGUUGUAAAGCACUUUAAGCGAGGAGGAGGCUCUUUUGGUUAAUACCCAAGAUGAGUGGACGUUACUCGCAGAAUAAGCACCGGCUAACUCUGUGCCAGCAGCCGCAGUAA